RNAcentral lists this long non-coding RNA (3370 nucleotides) under Homo sapiens (human). RNAcentral describes it as "HSALNT0307071". Lineage: Eukaryota; Metazoa; Chordata; Mammalia; Primates; Hominidae. The record is from RNAcentral.
AUGGCCUGAGGUCAGGAGUUCAAAACCAGCGUGGCCAACAAGAUGUGCCAGUUCUGGUAAAUUUCCUAGCAAGCUUGAAGGAAGUGAAGGACAACUGCAAGGAAGGGCAGGAUGGAGCAUGCAGCCCACGUAUUCCCCAGCUUGGUGGGGCAGAAUGCGUUCUUGGCUCCUGAGGAAUGGGCAGGCAACGCACAGGGGUCCUGGGAAGAAAGGGAGAGAAUAUCCUGGGAGAGCCAUAGACCCUGGCACCCUCCUGUGGUCCUUCAUCAGGAUAAAUUUCUAAAAGAAGAAUUACUGGCCAAAGGAUUCCUCUUCAGUUGGAAACAGCAGCAAAGUUCACAGGUCGUGAGUGGAUGUAAAGUGGACGGAACAGGUUGUUGCCAGUCUAUUGGAGUAGGAUGGUAGAUGAGCAGUCCCGUUGGCUAACAGGUGUGGGUAUGCCUGUUUUAAAAAUUAGCAUGUUGUAGGGGAAUAUUUCUCAAACUUUUGUCACGUAUCUACCUCUUAGGCAUUUUUUACUUUAUUCACCUGUACUACUAUUUAAUAUUUUUAAAAUUCAACUGAUUUUUUUUUUUGCUUAAAUACAUGUCUUUAAAACUGGAACUUUAUUCGCCACUGUAAAUGGAAAACCAGUGUCAUUUGCCAUAUAUAGAAGUGAACUAUAUAGUAAAUACGGUGAAAGUGAAAUGGUAUCAUCACACUUGUGCUAGAUUCCAUUUCCUAUAGAAGGUUCUGGGUUUCUUAAAAGGCUUGUUAAAAAGAGAGAUGAGUAAAUGUGAGAGGAAUUUAAGACAUACUAGCACCAUUAAGACUUUCUCCUUAAAGUAAUCUGGAGGAUUUAAAUUGAGAAUUGAAAAAAGUAACUUUAUUUUACAUAAGAAAUUAUGUAAAAGAAUUAUGUUAUUUAAUGCCACAUCCAUACGUCAUCAAGAGUCAACUUGGUGACCACUAGUGGCCCAUGUCCCACACUUUGAGAAACGUGUGUUGGGGUGGGAAUCUGAAGUCAGAAAAACUGGAGUAUGAUAACCACCUCAGCACUUAUUAGAGGCCUUCACUUGGGAAUGAUGACCCUUCCUUGUAGGGUUGUAGUGAGAAUGACAGAUAAUAUAUGAAAAGAUAAAACAUGGUGCCAGAGGCAUUAGCAGGUGCUGCGAAGGGGCUGUUGUAUUUCUUGUUAUACUGGAGUGGUUCUCCACCCUGGAUGCAUAUUAGAAUCAUCUGAAGGGCUUUUUAAAAAUACAGAUAUCAUGACCUCACCCCUGGAGAUCCUAAUUUAAUUGGUCAGGGGUAGGGUUCUGGCAUUGUUACUUGUUUAAAACAAAGUUCCUCCUCCUUCCCAGUGAUUUUAAUUUGUAGCCAGUGUUGGAAAAACCAUGGACUUAACCCUUUCCUAAGAGCUUAGAUCAAUUCUGCAGAUUAGCUAUCUGCCAUUUUGAAAAGGUGGCAUAAGCUCAGGGAAGUAUUCACUGGACAAAAGGAAUUCUGGAUGGCGGAAGCUCUAGGCACCAUCAGGCACUUGCUUUGUGCUGGAAGCUGCAUCAAAUGGCUUGAGCCCAAAGUAGACAUAAGGGCUCCUUAUUUCCCUGGACACUGGGAAAAUCAUUUCUCUUAUUCCAAGAGAACAAUUUUGCUGACCAUGGAAAUACUAUCUCUGGUUUCCAGAGGUACAGUGCUGUUCAGUGCUCUUCUGGAGGUUGUAGUAUGAAGAAAUGACAAAGCCAAAAAGGCAUUCUGACCUAGGGAGACUAUCUUUAAAGCAAAAUAUAAAUGUAGGGCAAAAACUCUGCGGUCUCAGGAGGAUUGGAUCCAGGGGAAAAUGUUUAAAAGGCAAACGUUUAGAAUCAAUUAUACAGCUUCAGCAAUGGUUUGCUAUUGUCUUGCUGUCUUUUUGUUUUGCUUUGUGUAGUGUUCAGAAUAUCUGCAUCAUGUAGCAUCUUUCUAUUUUUAGGAGUCUUUAAACUCCUUUAUUCUGAGGCCCCAGAAUAUUCUCAUCCACCACGUACUUUCACGUGGAGAUGACUGACUUCAUCUUUGACAAUGGCAGUUCCCUAACCUUGAUCCAGCACGGGAGCAGGAAUUAUGGCGAAAAUGGCCACCCAAACUGCACCCAGUGGGAAAACAGCAUUAACUCAGCUUUUAAAAAAGUGUCAACUUGGAAAAUCCAAGACCUAGAUCUGAUGCUUAGGGACCCACAAUGCCAGGCAGCAGUCUGGGAGAUGUCACUUCUGGAGCUUCUAAUGAGAUGCAAAUCACCUAGUGAACUACUGGGGAGCUGGGAAACAAUGUCCUGGGUAAAAGCAGAUAAAAAUGGAAUGAAAGAAUUUCUUUGAAGAUUGGAACGACAUUUUAAGUGCUUGCGGAUAUGGGACACCAGAUAGUGUUGGUUUUACUAAGCUAAUUGUGACGGGGUCUUUGAUUCCCUGCAGCAGGGGACCCUGGGGCACUCGUCUCCAGCUCUGCCUCACUCUUUGAGGAGCUAGUUCCAGUUCUACUGUGAGUGUGCAAGGGGCUGGUCAGCUGUAGCAAAACCAGCACUGGACAUGGGGGAUCAGAAGACCCCGGCACACAUAGUUCAAGUUGUGACACAUAUUGGUAUGUGACCUUAAGUGAAUCCCUUACCCCUCUGCUGCCAUGUUUUAUGUGUAAAAUGAUAAAGAGAGGGGUGGACUGAGGUAGUAAUUUUUAAUGGAGAACAUUGGUGUGGCAAAUUACACAUGUUCUGGCCUGAAGAUUCUGAGCUGCUCUCCUUGGAGUCACAUUCUUUCCCAGUGUGUGAACAUCUGUGUGCAGUGAGAGACAUGCCUGAUGGGGAUCUGUUGCCUGAAGCCAGUGUGAAGGCAGGAAAAGGGUAAGAACCAUUAGCCCAGAGGCCCUUUAAAGUCCCUUCCAACUUUAAGAUGCUGUAACUCCAGAGUAAUCGCCAGUUAACCUCUUGGAGCCUCAUCUGUGAAACUGACAUAAAUGCUUUUGCUUUUCAGCUUGUUGGAAUUUAAAUACGACCAAUCAAAAUGUGUUUAGGCUUCAAAGGAAAAAGUUCUCCAUAAAUACACCAGAAUUUCAUUCUAACAUGAUUCAUUCAUUCAAAGAGCACAGCUGCACAAGGGGAAGACAGCUGCCACAUGGUAACGCAGUCCUGUAAAGAGUCCCAUGUGGUGAGAGACGUGGUUGGGAGUGAGCUUGGAAGUGGAUCCCCAACCCUCGUCCCCAAACUGAGACUUCACAUGAGACUGCAGCUCUGGCCAACAGCUUCACUGUAACCUCACAACAGACCUUGAGCCACAAGCACCCAGCUAAGCUGCAGGGAGACCCCCUGAAACUAUUGCUACGGAAUAAAAGAUGAAAUGCUCCUGAUUAUUGUAAAUACAAAGUU